This 71-nucleotide transfer RNA is filed under the name Odontotermes sp. BDIT085. RNAcentral describes it as "tRNA-Lys". RNAcentral also lists the same sequence under 2 other names. Lineage: Eukaryota; Metazoa; Arthropoda; Insecta; Blattodea; Termitidae. The record is from RNAcentral.
CAUCGGAUGACUGAAAGCAAGCAAUGGUCUCUUAAACCAACACAUGGUAUACUAGCAAAUACCUCCGAUGA